AUUGUGGCGGUGCGGGCUGAUAGAGAUGUCAGAGUCGCUUCGCUAAUCUUAGGCAGCCCGAGCCCUGUGUGAGAGCAAACGAGGCCCAUAUUGAGCCUGGCGUGACGGGGAGGACCACCAGGAGAAAGCUGCGAGGGGGCCAGCGGCUGGACAAAUCAAAGCAGAAGAAAAAGAUAGACCACCUCCAAGAAAAGUCUAAAGAGUCCAAGAAAGUAUGCAAUGGACUCUGAGUGGAUGAACCAUGGACCAAGUUUUUGUUUUAGUGGACAAAUGGAGAUGGACAGCUAAAGGAGAAGGGCAAUCGACCAUGGACUGGAGACCUCAGGUUCUGUUCGACAGCAGUGCUGCAUUUCAUAUACAUGGAGCUGUACCUUGUAAGGAUGACCCAUNGACAAGACUGUGAAGAAAGAUGGAAUGAAGAACUUCCUCCUGGUUCCAGCUAAUCACAGUUUACUGAGGCACAAGUCUGUUCACCAAUGAGACCCAUUACUCUGAAUGUGUCAACAGUGUCAGAGUAUCCACAUCCAGGUAUGGACAUCAUGACUCUGAGUUCAUUGCAAUGUGUAGAUUUGACCAAAUAAAAGAAAUAUUCUGUACUUUAAAA
RNAcentral lists this long non-coding RNA (604 nucleotides) under Salvator merianae (Argentine black and white tegu). RNAcentral describes it as "lncRNA (ENSSMRG00000022264.1)". The record is from RNAcentral. Lineage: Eukaryota; Metazoa; Chordata; Lepidosauria; Squamata; Teiidae.